RNAcentral lists this ribosomal RNA (778 nucleotides) under uncultured bacterium. RNAcentral's name for it is "bacterial SSU rRNA". It matches the Rfam family "Bacterial small subunit ribosomal RNA", at positions 50 to 841 of the family's 1533-position model. The record is from RNAcentral.
UACACAUGCAAGUCGAACGAGAGAUGAGGAGCUUGCUCUUCAGAUCGAGUGGCGAACGGGUGAGUAACGCGUGAGGAACCUGCCUCAAAGAGGGGGACAACAGUUGGAAACGACUGCUAAUACCGCAUAAGCCCACGGCUCGGCAUCGAGCAGAGGGAAAAGGAGUGAUCCGCUUUGAGAUGGCCUCGCGUCCGAUUAGCUAGUUGGUGAGGUAAUGGCCCACCAAGGCGACGAUCGGUAGCCGGACUGAGAGGUUGAACGGCCACAUUGGGACUGAGACACGGCCCAGACUCCUACGGGAGGCAGCAGUGGGGAAUAUUGCACAAUGGGGGAAACCCUGAUGCAGCGACGCCGCGUGGAGGAAGAAGGUCUUCGGAUUGUAAACUCCUGUUGUUGAGGAAGAUAAUGACGGUACUCAACAAGGAAGUGACGGCUAACUACGUGCCAGCAGCCGCGGUAAAACGUAGGUCACAAGCGUUGUCCGGAAUUACUGGGUGUAAAGGGAGCGCAGGCGGGAGAACAAGUUGGAAGUGAAAUCCAUGGGCUCAACCCAUGAACUGCUUUCAAAACUGUUUUUCUUGAGUAGUGCAGAGGUAGGCGGAAUUCCCGGUGUAGCGGUGGAAUGCGUAGAUAUCGGGAGGAACACCAGUGGCGAAGGCGGCCUACUGGGCACCAACUGACGCUGAGGCUCGAAAGUGUGGGUAGCAAACAGGAUUAGAUACCCUGGUAGUCCACACCGUAAACGAUGAUUACUAGGUGUUGGAGGAUUGACCCCUUC